UACCUAAACAAAUUUAAAAAGUUAAGCUUUUAAAUAACUAUUAAAGAUAUUAUCCCCUUGUAGUGUAGUUUAAUAGCUAUCUACAUAUUAACUUAAUAUAAAGUAUAAUAGUUUAUAUUUUAUAAUAUGACGUUAACAAUUUUGUUUAAUAUUUGAAAAUGUUAGUAUUAGUAAUAUUAGUAUAUGUGCUAAAGGAACUCGGCAAAAAACCACUCAACUGUUUAUCAAAAACAUAGCUAUAUGAAUUAAUAUAUAGUUAUUUCUGCUCAAUGAUUUAAAUAGCCGCAGUACUCUGACUGUGCAAAGGUAGCAUAAUCAGUUGGCUUUUAAUUAGAGUCUGGUAUGAACGAAAAUAUGGGUAGUAACUGUCUUAGCACAUUUUUUCGAAGUUAUUAAACAAGUGCAAAUGCUUGUAAUUUAACAAUAGACGAGAAGACCCUAGAAACUUGGACAAGUUUUUGUUGGGGCGACAGAAUUACACUUAACUAAUCUUAUAAUACACGACGCGAUGUUGAAAGAAUAAGUUACUCUAGGGAUAACAGCAUAAUUUCAUUAGUUUGUGACCUCGAUGUUGGACUAGGUACUAUACCCUUAAGGCAAGGAUAUAUUAUGCUCUGUUCGAGCAAAAUUACCUACAUGAUCUGAGUUCAGAC
This 653-nucleotide ribosomal RNA is filed under the name Helix pomatia (Roman snail). Its description in RNAcentral is "partial 16S ribosomal RNA". The record is from RNAcentral. Lineage: Eukaryota; Metazoa; Mollusca; Gastropoda; Stylommatophora; Helicidae.